GGCAUAAUGGCCGAGUGGUUAAGGCGAAAGACUUGAAAUCUUUUGGGCUCUGCCCGCGCAGGUUCGAACCCUGCUUAUGUCG
RNAcentral lists this transfer RNA (82 nucleotides) under Babjeviella inositovora NRRL Y-12698. It matches the Rfam family "tRNA". Rfam says of the family: Transfer RNA (tRNA) molecules are approximately 80 nucleotides in length. Their secondary structure includes four short double-helical elements and three loops (D, anti-codon, and T loops). Lineage: Eukaryota; Fungi; Ascomycota; Pichiomycetes; Serinales. The record is from Rfam by way of RNAcentral.